GGGCGACUAGCUCAGUUGGUUAGAGUGCCUGCUCGACACGCAGGAGGUCACAGGUUCAAAUCCCGUGUCGCCCACCA
Molecule: transfer RNA, 77 nt
Filed under: Chlamydiota bacterium
Lineage: Bacteria; Pseudomonadati; Chlamydiota
Also listed under: 1 other name
Description: Chlamydiae bacterium tRNA-Val
Rfam family: tRNA
About the family: Transfer RNA (tRNA) molecules are approximately 80 nucleotides in length. Their secondary structure includes four short double-helical elements and three loops (D, anti-codon, and T loops).
Source: RNAcentral